Molecule: ribosomal RNA, 409 nt
Filed under: Bacillota bacterium
Lineage: Bacteria; Bacillati; Bacillota
Description: Firmicutes bacterium partial 16S ribosomal RNA
Rfam family: Bacterial small subunit ribosomal RNA
Source: RNAcentral
UGGGGAAUAUUGCACAAUGGGCGAAAGCCUGAUGCAGCGACGCCGCGUGAGGGAUGACGGCCUUCGGGUUGUAAACCUCUUUCAGCAGGGACGAAGCGCAAGUGACGGUACCUGCAGAAGAAGCACCGGCUAACUACGUGCCAGCAGCCGCGGUAAUACGUAGGGUGCAAGCGUUGUCCGGAAUUACUGGGCGUAAAGAGUUCGUAGGCGGUUUGUCGCGUCGUUUGUGAAAACCAGCAGCUCAACUGCUGGCUUGCAGGCGAUACGGGCAGACUUGAGUACUGCAGGGGAGACUGGAAUUCCUGGUGUAGCGGUGAAAUGCGCAGAUAUCAGGAGGAACACCGGUGGCGAAGGCGGGUCUCUGGGCAGUAACUGACGCUGAGGAACGAAAGCGUGGGUAGCGAACAGU